UCUUAAUUUGUCUCAAGUUCGAUAAAAUGAGCAACCUUUAUACUUACUGAGUGUGUUGGAUUUUUGUUAUGGCUCAUGAAAUUUUUUGAGGGAAUAGAUAAUAGAAAUUUUUCACACUAGGGACUUAACUUAAAAUAUAUUAUAAGAAAUUUUGUUUUUUUUGUUUUUUGUUUUUUUGUUUUUUGUUUUUUGUUUUGUUUUUUUUUAUUCAAGGGAAAUAACAAUGAAAAGAAAGGUACAUACUUGAAGAAGGGAGGAUAGAAAGAACACGGUUUUCCCCCCCAUACUUAAAUGAAACAUUG
RNAcentral lists this long non-coding RNA (302 nucleotides) under Lathyrus oleraceus (garden pea). RNAcentral describes it as "Pisum sativum (pea) long non-coding RNA (PSAT_LNC010004)". The record is from RNAcentral. Lineage: Eukaryota; Viridiplantae; Streptophyta; Magnoliopsida; Fabales; Fabaceae.